UAUUCCCCCUAAAUGUCCCAUCCAAUCUCACCACCUUUUGUCUCCCUCUCUCACCUACCUUAUCUCUCCAUGUAGGGAGAUACAAUAUAAUACUAGCAACUAUGGUUGGCUUAACAAGUUUUGGUACACUGAUGACUGAGUUUUCUUUCACUUUUGUGACUUUUUUUUGUUUUUUCACUUGACUUUUUACUCUUUUUCUCAAUCAUAGUGCUUUUAUUUUUGUUCUUUACUUUUUCUACUCGUUUUUACCUUUGACUUUUUUUCUUGAUUUUUUUUCCUUUUUAGCACAUUAUUGCCUGACCUAUAAUCAUUGUAUCACAUUAUUUCUUCCUUUGUCACUCAUUUUUUUGUUUGAAACCACUGUGAUGUAUCUAUCUAAACCCUCAAUAUCUAUGGUCUGACGUCCAUUUCAUAAUGUAUUAAAGGACCAAG
Molecule: long non-coding RNA, 432 nt
Filed under: Gossypium raimondii (Peruvian cotton)
Lineage: Eukaryota; Viridiplantae; Streptophyta; Magnoliopsida; Malvales; Malvaceae
Description: long non-coding RNA (GRAI_LNC001989)
Source: RNAcentral